GACGAACCGUGCGAACGUUAUUCGGAAUCACUGGGCUUAAAGCGCGUGUAGGCGGCCCGGCACGUCCGUCGCUGAAAGCCCCCGGCUCAACCGGGGAAGGGGCGCGGAUACGACCGGGCUGGAGGGGGGUAGGGGGCGCCGGAACUGCCGGUGGAGCGGUGAAAUGCGUUGAGAUCGGCAGGAACGCCCGUGGCGAAAGCGGGCGCCUGGACCCCGCCUGACGCUGAGACGCGAAAGCCAGGGGAGCGAACGGG
This 254-nucleotide ribosomal RNA is filed under the name uncultured bacterium. RNAcentral's name for it is "partial 16S ribosomal RNA". It matches the Rfam family "Bacterial small subunit ribosomal RNA", at positions 524 to 776 of the family's 1533-position model. The record is from RNAcentral.